This 195-nucleotide unclassified non-coding RNA is filed under the name uncultured Flavobacteriaceae bacterium. RNAcentral describes it as "16S-23S ribosomal RNA intergenic spacer". Lineage: Bacteria; Pseudomonadati; Bacteroidota; Flavobacteriia; Flavobacteriales; Flavobacteriaceae. The record is from RNAcentral.
AGAGAAAGACAAAAAAAGUUUUAUCGAAGUAUGGUUACUUACUGAUUUCUCAUUCACAAAGAACACUUUAUAUAAGGAAAUAAGUAUAGGUUAAGUAAGCGGUUCGAUUCCGAUAAUUUCACAAAUUUAUUAGACCUAUGUUUAAUAAAAUAAAGUUCAUUGAUGUAUUGUAAGUAAGAAGAAAUACCUGUAUAG